Non-coding RNA from Aegilops tauschii subsp. strangulata, 3924 nucleotides. The record is from RefSeq and is a predicted model, not a curated record. Lineage: Eukaryota; Viridiplantae; Streptophyta; Magnoliopsida; Poales; Poaceae.
UCCCUCGUCCGAUCCCCAACCUCCCCCAUCCCAUCGCCGCUGCUGCCUACCCCUCCUCCUACCGGUGCGCCACCACUCCCGCCUCCUUCCGGCGCGCCGUCAUCCCCGCCUCCUACCGGCGCGCCGCCGGACCCUCCUUCUUCCAUGGAGCGCCGCCACCCCGCUGCCUCCUACCGGCGCGCCGUCGGACCCUCCUUCUUCCCUGGAGCGCCGCCACCCCGCUGCCCUCGCCAUCUCCCACCAUGGGGUAACCCUAGAUGGCGCCGGCCCGCCGCCGCCGACGUCGCUCCUUCUCCCUCGGCCCUCAGCCACCAAACGGCCGCUGCAUCACGCCGAUUAGGUCCUACCCCAGGACAGCCACGGGUGUCGUCAUCUCCAGAAGCCUGCCCCCAAAUCGUUGCCACCUGCGCCUCCGAUUCAUCCAACGUCGGUCAUCUCCCUCUUCGUCCUCCACGGGUGUUGCUCUGCCUCGGUCUAUAAUUAACGUCCAUGCCCCAACGCCUUCUCGCCGUUCCUCCCCUGAGCGCGCCCCGCGGCUAACCCUAGGGACCGAGUCAGGCUUGCCGGCGUGGCCGCGUCGUGUGCUGUUGGCACCCCACUCCACCUGCUCUGCUGCGCCCCGGUCUCCAACAGCCAUUCUGAGGAACCCAUCUCGCCGCCACCAUCGUCUGCUAUCCUCCAACAAGUGUGCUGCGGUACGCCGAUGUCCUCCCAUCGGCAAGCUCCGCCCCUGCCGGCAUCGUCCACCCACACCAUGUCCUUCUCUUUGCCAAGCAGCGUUAAGAAGCAGCUAGACACUUUGGUUUUGCAGUUCCAAAACUACACAAAAGUUGGAGAGAACGUGUACCAUUACCAUCAGUGGUCGGGGAAUAGAACAUGAAUCAGACAAUUCGUUCUUUGUACAAUCAGAGUUUAGAGGGCAGUAUACUGCAUCACAAUUUUGGUUCUUUUGUUGUUGCUUGUAUAAAUGAUCACCUACAUUGUAGGGGCUUCUCCCUAUACUGGGCUUUAGAAUGUGUCGCAACUAAAAGUCAAGGAAUUUUUUCAGUCGAAUAAAAUUUAGUAACUAGCCUUUUCAUAUUGAUCUUUAUCUGCAGCGUGAUGGGUGUGGACAAAAACAUGUGGUGUUACCUUACAGUAUGUACUUUAUCUUCCUUUAUGCCGCAUACAUAAUGGAAUUAGAAAGUAUAUUUUUAGUAUAUUAAAACUAGCCUGUCCCUUCCUUUUAGUGUACUGAAUUAGUUCUUAUAAUCUAAUCAAGUGUACACUUAUCUGUUGUCUGUACUAUAGCGGUGAUUAUCAGAAGUCCAAGACCACACUGUAGGCAGGAAAAAGGAAUGUUCUUGUAGGUUGCUCGCGGGUGACUUCUCAGGUGUCACGGCGCUUGCAUUGUAGAUUAGUAGAGGGAAUAUUGAGACGACGAGGAGAGGCGACUUAACUGCAGUCCGCACAACACCAUGAACCAGGGUAAAGAGGUCAAUCUCUUCCGAUACACAAUUGUUGAGGUGUUCAAAAAUCUUAGUGAGAGAGGACAUUGACGGUGCGAGAAUGGAACAUAACGAGUUUUUUUGUGUGUGUGUGUGUGCAUUACCGAAACGUUGCACGACAUGUUCUUGAAGUCCGCCCUCUCAUUGAUUGGAACGGGGUGAGAGUUGUGGAAUUUUUGCUGUGACCACCUGGACUAAGAUGACAGGGCUGACAAAGAUGAAGCCAAGUUGAAGAUUCAGAGUUGCUAGGCAGGCACAGUUAACAGGGAUAAGAAACUAUAGAAGAUUUAUCAAAUCAGACAUGGGCUUGGUUAUGCAAUGAUUCAUUGGGAUCUGAGAUAAUUUCUGCCUGGAGCAGAAGGUUAUAGGGGUGGCCCAGAUAUCAUGGAGAGGCGCCGUGCUCGGUCCAGUAGGAGCUUCGGGUCAACACUGGGGCUGCGUGGUGGGCAUGAACCAUGGCGACUGCCUUCCGGCUUUAUUCUGUUGGCUCGUACAUUUGCCGCUGGCUAUUCUUACAGAAUCAUGAAUUAGACUUAGGAGAAUUGGCAAGUCAUCACAUGAAUUUUUUUAAACUAUGAGGUGCUACAGGUAAACAUGAUGAAUUCACACUUUUAAACUGCCUGGUGAUUUUUUAAAUCUCCAGGCAAUCAGAACAUAUGCAUUUUCUUUGUUUCUCGCUUCAUGUUUUGUCAUGGACUACAUGAGUUUCAUGUAUACCAGAAUGUUUUCAAACCUGUGAUUAACAAGUUCUUUUCCACUUCUAAAUUACAAAUAUCUUAUUGAUGCUACCAUAUUGUAGAGUGUACUUGAUGGUGAUAUUUUUUUACCUCUUAAAUGUUGAAAUUUAGUUAAUAUUCCUAUAUGUUGAAAGUAGUAAUAGUCCUUAGUUUUCAUAGUGGUUCAUGAUCUUGGUGGUGCCUUUUUUUCUUUGUUCUACUAACAAAAAAGGACGCAUCCUAUGUGAAAUAUUUGUGGUUUCGGAAAUAAAUUAUGUUGUAAAUCAUCAUUAACAUGGCAUGUGAUUGCAUCUUGCACUACUUUCAGCCAGCGAGUUGUCUAAACAAUAGAUGUUCUGAUCACUAGCAUGAUUUUGGAUUGAAUCUAAAAUUUGUUUCAGUUUGUAAGCUAAUCUAAAAUAGGUAAAAGGCAUAUUAGGAGAGAAAACAUUGUUUGUGCAACUUUACUCUCUUCAGGUCGCCGUUUUGUAAAGUAGUUCUGCCAUCUUAGGACAUGUGAGGAAAUGCAUAUUUGGCCAUUAUUCAAACGAACAUUUAGACCUCAAUGUCCUAUCUCGUUUCUUACAGUUCCUCAUUAUGCUAGCUCACAUAUUAAGGGGGAAAGGAAGUGGUGUAGAUAUACAAUUUAAUCUCUACUAUUAAAGGGGAGUAAAUUUAGUUUCAUUAGUCCCAUCCCUCUCUCCCUCGUACGUAGAUUUUUUUUACAAAUAAAUGUUUCGAUCGCAGGUUUUGUCAUCCUUGAACCGGUCUGCCCUCAAACAAACCCCUUAGAUGCAGCCAACACCUUGUAGCCCACACAUUACUCUCUUCAGGUCGCCGUUUUGGACCGUGUAGCGCUGUCGCCCGAGAGCCACACGACUCCCAUAUCGCCCCUCUAGGAGAGCCAUAUUAGGGUGGAUCUGGGCCCAUGCCCGACGAAGAGGGGGUGGCGGAGGGAAGGACUGCUGGUGGUGGGAGUCAUUUCGUGGCGACGACUGGUGAAGCGUGGAAAAGGUUAGGGAGGUGGACCAUUAGGGGAAUGACAGUGACACCGCCGCUGCUUUCUCUCCUUCUCGAGACACCAUCAUUGUGAGCAAAGGAGGCCGUGUUGCUAUCUCUGUUUUGUCACGGAAUCAAAAGCACAUUGUGGUGUUUGCCCUCGGCUACGAUGAUGUGCAUUUCUUGGCACCGAGAAUAAGCUUGGGACACUGUGGAUGGGUGAAGAGGGAGUGGGCGAUACCGUGAAGCGAAGGGGAGAUGGCGGUGAGAGGAAGGUACAUGUUGAAUGCCAUGGCGCCGAGGGGAGGCAGCAAUGAGAAGUUUUGGAGGGGAGAGGUUUUGGAGGGGAGAGAUGACGGCGGCGAUGCCCGUGGCAAGGAGAGCAAGCGGAUGGAAUGCGGUGUGAGUGUGAGCGUUGUGUCAUACUAUGAGAGAGUGAAUUGUAUUUUCCAAGACGAGAAGAAAAGGUGUGUGUUUGCUUUUUGAGGGAAAGCAAUUAUUUGCUAUAAAAGUCAUUUUUGAAAAAUAAUUACCAACAAAUGAUUUACAGUUGAGCAUACAGUUUAUCAAAAUUGGGUUGCGAAUCACUCUACAAAGUAUCAUGAUGCCACUAACUCCGACUAAAAAUGGUCACUUGCUUGCAUCCAGGACCAAUGAAUAUAUAUUGUCUUAAUAUUUCAAUAUGUGUAUAUAUGUUCACUUUUGUGGAUUGGAGAUAAAAA